UCCCUGGAGGACUAGUGGUUAGGCCACAGCACUAUCACCACUGUGGCCCAGGUUCGAUUCCCAGCCAGGUAA
Molecule: non-coding RNA, 72 nt
Organism: Pangasius djambal
Lineage: Eukaryota; Metazoa; Chordata; Actinopteri; Siluriformes; Pangasiidae
Source: the annotation of a GenBank genome assembly